UCCCUUAAACCUGAGAUUCCUCCCCAAGAGCCCCAGACCUCGGUCAGCAGCUUUGUCAAGUGAUAGCCUGAGGCUUCUUGGUUGUUAAGUUAUUCUGUUUCCACAUUAGCCUUAAAGAGAGACAAAAACAUUUCCUUCAGCUGGUGUGUGUGUGUGUAUGUGUGUGUGUGUGUGUGUGUGUGUGUGUGUGUGUGUGCGUGUGUGUGCUUUUAAGUUGUAUGAAAAUGAAGCAGUUUCAUGGACUGCCUGACUGGUCCUUUAAUUUAGAUUUCCCCUUAUUUUUACAGAUACUUAAAGCUUCAAACAGACUGCCCCUACUACCACAGGAGGACCAGACUAAUCAUACGCUCCAAAAGAUGGCUGUGAUAGAUCUUGUGAUGUAGUUACUGGCAUAUCAAGGUCUUUGGGAUGAACACUAAAGAUGUGUAGAGUGAAUUACAGUUACAGUCCGCUGGCAUUUUAGUGAAUCUGUUUUUAAUCAUGUUACUUACGUUCCUGCAGGCCCUUACUUGAGAGCAUCUGUAUCUCGGUUGGGUUGCCUUUUUUUUUUUUUUUUUUUUUUGUGGUACAGCUUUAGUUUCUCUAUGUUUAUGUGUAUUUUUCAGUGAAGACUUGGUAAUUACAUUGAUAAUGUGGCAGAAAUUGUCAUGACAGGGUUUUAAUAUAUUCUUAAUAAUUAGAAUUACCUGUGUUGAACUGACUUGUAUGAGCACUGUUAAUGGGGACUUGAAGCCAUGGUGGGCCCCUUGUAUUAAUGAGCGAGGCCCUAGUAUGCUGAGGAGAAGCUCUGAGUGGUAUAUGUCUGCACUGAUAUUCUUAUCACGACUGGUCGCAUUAGCUUCUUCAUGUGGACAUGUUACAGCACUGGCUUUGAAACUUUUUGUAGUUUUUAGAUGUUUAUUUGAAAGUGUAACAUUUUAAGAUGCAAAAGAUCACUAAUAUGCUUUUCAAAGCGAGGAGAAAAUUAAGCUCCUUGUGGGGACAUAAGGUAAACAGUUGCUUGCAAAACAUACACGUCCUCACGCUUCAGCAUGCUAGGUCAAUUUUAUAAGAACUGUAGGCCAGUUGGUAUUUAUUUACCAGAAAACUUAUAUAAAUUAUUGCUGUAUAGCUUAAGGACUGCCCUAUGCUGGUCUGAAUGGGUACCACCCUCUUAGCCCUGGUGUCUGCUCAGGGCUAUCACUAGGUGAAGUCCACAAUCCCUCAGGUUGAGGAAAUUCAGGGUAUAUGAGAAGCAGUCACUGAGCCCAAAGUUUGCUGCUGGGUCUAAGGGAUGAGCCUCUCUCUUCCUUUAUACACUGGUGGAUUUAUCAUAUUUUUAGUGUGGUUUGUUUGUGGCUAAGGAAUAGAGCUGUGAGGAAAAAUUGAUUUGUAUGCUGACAUACAGUUUGAGGAGAGCCACCAGCCAUUUAAAAAAAGCCAUAUGGUUGUUUGAUUUGUGGGCCAGUGGCAGCUCUCGACUACGGUAACACUGUUCUAAGAUAAAGCCAUUUUUUCCCCUUCCUCUAGGAUAAAAUCAGAGUCAGCCUUAUGAUUGAAAACUGUGACCCCAUGAUGUCCAUGUGCUGGUGUCUCAGUUUAAAUCAAUAAGCAAUAAUUUUUAAAGCUGUGAUAUAGAUGCUGUAGAGCUAAAACUUGAAUUAAAACAAAGCUCUUCAUAGUGCAAGUCGUAGAACACUACUUUUUACACUACCAUAUUUUUUUAGGGUGACUUAGAAGUGACACCCCACUGGUAAAUGGCUGAAAUAAGUUUCUCUGGACCUCUGUAUAUGAUCUUAUGUAGAACUCUGGGAAGUGAGGGUUCAUUGGGGCCAACUUCAAAUACUUUGAUAAAAAGCAAUAUGUGAAUUAAUGAGCCUUGUCCUUUACAAACGUGUGCCAUGCUGGGUGACAGGGGUGGGUUGUCUGAAAAUGUUAAUGUCUUUUGUGCAAUGUUGCUGAAGAGCAAUAAAAUGCAGAUGAAUCUUC
Rattus rattus (black rat) is the source of this 1968-nucleotide long non-coding RNA. RefSeq lists it as uncharacterized. The record is from RefSeq and is a predicted model, not a curated record. The transcript is spliced from 2 exons. Lineage: Eukaryota; Metazoa; Chordata; Mammalia; Rodentia; Muridae.